CUUAAGGACAUGAAAGGAAGAGAGAAAAGUUCUCUUAUGCAUGAAAAAUUGAGAAGAAAGGGUUCUUCUCUUGAUCUCUAUUGUAGAGAUGAUGCAUGGAUACAGAAAGAAAAAGAGAGGGUCUCUUUAUUCUUCAUCUUCAUCAUGUUCUUCUUAGAUCAGUCAAAGGAUGGUGUCUUCGUAAGCUAGCACUCUCGGAAAGAUCGAUCAGCACAAGAGCUUCGUGUGGAUAUCCAUAAAGGUCGGAUGUGUGUGCGACUAUCAAGCAUCAUGAAGAAUCAAGUACUAUAAAUUUUAGAUAUGGUGAUCUACUACCCACAC
This 321-nucleotide long non-coding RNA is filed under the name Elaeis guineensis (African oil palm). RNAcentral's name for it is "long non-coding RNA (EGUI_LNC055065)". Lineage: Eukaryota; Viridiplantae; Streptophyta; Magnoliopsida; Arecales; Arecaceae. The record is from RNAcentral.